UAAAGCUCUGUGGGGGGAGAAGAAGAAAGUCGGUGAAGAGCCGACCCUGACGGUAUCCCCUUAGCAAGCACCGGCUAACUCCGUGCCAGCAGCCGCGGUAAUACGGAGGGUGCAAAACGUUGCUCGGAAUCAUUGGGCGUAAAGCGCGCGUAGGCGGCUGAACAAGUUGGAUGUGAAAGCCCUGGGCUCAACCUAGGAUGUGCAUUCAAAACUGUUCGGCUUGAGUCUCGGAGGGGGUCAGAGAAUUCUCGGUGUAGAGGUGAAAUUCGUAGAUAUCGGGAGGAACACCAGUGGCGAAGGCGCUGACCUGGACGAUGACUGACGCUGAGGCGCGAAAGCGUGGGGAGCAAAACAGGAUUAGAUACCCUGGUAGUCCACGCCGUAAACGAUGAGUGCUAGACGCUGGCGGAUUGACCCCGUCGGUGUCGAAGCUAACGCGUUAAGCACUCCGCCUGGGGAGUACGGUCGCAAGACUAAAACUCAAAGGAAUUGACGGGGG
This 499-nucleotide ribosomal RNA is filed under the name uncultured bacterium. RNAcentral describes it as "bacterial SSU rRNA". It matches the Rfam family "Bacterial small subunit ribosomal RNA", at positions 426 to 919 of the family's 1533-position model. The record is from RNAcentral.